This 253-nucleotide ribosomal RNA is filed under the name uncultured bacterium. Its description in RNAcentral is "partial 16S ribosomal RNA". It matches the Rfam family "Bacterial small subunit ribosomal RNA", at positions 524 to 776 of the family's 1533-position model. The record is from RNAcentral.
UACAGAGGUCCCGAGCGUUGUUCGGAUUCACUGGGCGUAAAGGGUGCGUAGGUGGUGAGGUAAGUCGGAUGUGAAAGCUCGGAGCUCAACUCCGAAAUGGCAUUGGAAACUACCUUGCUUGAGGGUUGGAGGGGGGACUGGAAUUCUCGGUGUAGCAGUGAAAUGCGUAGAUAUCGAGAGGAACACCAGUGGCGAAGGCGAGUCUCUGGACGACACCUGACACUGAGGCACGAAAGCCAGGGGAGCAAACAGG